RNAcentral lists this ribosomal RNA (1352 nucleotides) under Massilia sp. BJB1822. RNAcentral's name for it is "partial 23S ribosomal RNA". It matches the Rfam family "Bacterial large subunit ribosomal RNA", at positions 1587 to 2925 of the family's 2925-position model. The record is from RNAcentral. Lineage: Bacteria; Pseudomonadati; Pseudomonadota; Betaproteobacteria; Burkholderiales; Oxalobacteraceae.
GAAGCAAUCGGAAGUGGUUCCAAGAAAAGCCUCUAAGCUUCAGUCAUACGAGACCGUACCGCAAACCGACACAGGUGGGCGAGAUGAGUAUUCUAAGGCGCUUGAGAGAACUCGGGAGAAGGAACUCGGCAAAUUGGUACCGUAACUUCGGGAAAAGGUACGCCUCGGUAGCUUGACCACUUUACUGUGGAAGGGCGAAAAGGUUGCAAUAAACUGGUGGCUGCGACUGUUUAAUAAAAACACAGCACUCUGCAAACACGAAAGUGGACGUAUAGGGUGUGACGCCUGCCCGGUGCUGGAAGAUUAAAUGAUGGGGUGCAAGCUCUUGAUUGAAGUCCCAGUAAACGGCGGCCGUAACUAUAACGGUCCUAAGGUAGCGAAAUUCCUUGUCGGGUAAGUUCCGACCUGCACGAAUGGCGUAACGAUGGCCACACUGUCUCCUCCCGAGACUCAGCGAAGUUGAAGUGUUUGUGAUGAUGCAAUCUACCCGCGGCUAGACGGAAAGACCCCAUGAACCUUUACUGUAGCUUUGCAUUGGACUUUGAACCAAUCUGUGUAGGAUAGGUGGGAGGCUUUGAAGCGGGGACGCCAGUUCUCGUGGAGCCAUCCUUGAAAUACCACCCUGGUUUGUUUGAGGUUCUAACCUUGGUCCGUGAUCCGGAUCGGGGACAGUGCAUGGUAGGCAGUUUGACUGGGGCGGUCUCCUCCUAAAGUGUAACGGAGGAGUUCGAAGGUACGCUAGGUACGGUCGGACAUCGUGCUAAUAGUGCAAUGGCAUAAGCGUGCUUAACUGCGAGACCGACAAGUCGAGCAGGUACGAAAGUAGGACAUAGUGAUCCGGUGGUUCUGUAUGGAAGGGCCAUCGCUCAACGGAUAAAAGGUACUCUGGGGAUAACAGGCUGAUUCCUCCCAAGAGUUCAUAUCGACGGGGGAGUUUGGCACCUCGAUGUCGGCUCAUCACAUCCUGGGGCUGUAGCCGGUCCCAAGGGUAUGGCUGUUCGCCAUUUAAAGUGGUACGUGAGCUGGGUUUAAAACGUCGUGAGACAGUUUGGUCCCUAUCUGCCGUGGGCGUUGGAAAUUUGAAGGGGGCUGCUCCUAGUACGAGAGGACCGGAGUGGACGAACCUCUGGUGUACCGGUUGUCACGCCAGUGGCAUUGCCGGGUAGCUAAGUUCGGAAGAGAUAACCGCUGAAAGCAUCUAAGCGGGAAACUUGCCUUAAGAUGAGAUUUCCCGGAGCCUUGAGCUCCUUGAAGGGUCGUUCGAGACCAGGACGUUGAUAGGUCGGGUGUGGAAGUGCAGUAAUGCAUUAAGCUAACCGAUACUAAUUGCCCGUACGGCUUGUCCCUAUAAC